CCUACGGGUGGCAGCAGUCGAGAAACAUUCACAAUGGGGGAAACCCUGAUGGUGCGACGCCGCGUGGGGGAAUGAAGGUCUUCGGAUUGUAAACCCCUGUCAUGUGGGAGCAAAUUAAAAAGAUAGUACCACAAGAGGAAGAGACGGCUAACUCUGUGCCAGCAGCCGCGGUAAUACAGAGGUCUCAAGCGUUGUUCGGAAUCACUGGGCGUAAAGCGUGCGUAGGCGGUUUCGUAAGUCGUGUGUGAAAGGCGCGGGCUCAACCCGCGGACGGCACAUGAUACUGCGAGACUAGAGUAGUGGAGGGGGAACCGGAAUUCUCGGUGUAGCAGUGAAAUGCGUAGAUAUCGAGAGGAACACUCGUGGCGAAGGCGGGUUCCUGGACAUUAACUGACGCUGAGGCACGAAGGCCAGGGGAGCGAAAGGGAUUAGAUACCCGGGUAGUC
RNAcentral lists this ribosomal RNA (446 nucleotides) under uncultured bacterium. Its description in RNAcentral is "partial 16S ribosomal RNA". It matches the Rfam family "Bacterial small subunit ribosomal RNA", at positions 338 to 795 of the family's 1533-position model. The record is from RNAcentral.